CGCUUUGCAUGUUUGCUCGGACGUUUGACUUCUCCACACUUUUCAGUCCCAAAGGGCACCUGAGCUUCAUCAAGAAUCCCCUUGACCUGAGCGCCAUACCUGGUUGUUGCUACGUAUCAGUAGGGUUUACAGUAAUUCUUGAAAAUGAUAUGAAGUUAUAACUGUUUACUGUAUUAUUUGUGGUUGUAGGUGUCCAAAAAUUUACCUCUGUUGUUCUUGAUCAUAAUCCAUUUCCUCACCAGAGUCCUCAAGAGCCUGAGUUUCUUCGUUCUCACUGUUUCUAAUGUCUUCUUCCAAAUCAAGCAGUGGUGACUCAGCAGCAUGAAGUUCUUUUUCGCCCUAUAAAAAGCACAAACACAAAUCAUAUAUAUCACUGAGCUCACUAGCGCAAAAAUACUUAAACAAGUACUACUGGAAGCUAAAAAAGGCAUGUCCUACUGGCAAGAUAACAUAAAAAUAUCAUGAUAGAACAAGAUUUACUUCCCGAACUGUGUUUCACUACAGCAAACAGAUCCGAGAGAAAAAAGACCGUAUCUUCACGGACGAAAUCUGGUCUGUCCAUUAUUGUCGUGCGAUGAGAUGCAUUGAAUGGUGUGGGGCUCAGCGCUAGACCACGUAAUACAAUCACCCACAAGGAUCGGAUGACGGAUGUUCUGAGGCGUGGGGCAGGUAACUGCAGAAACAGGGCAGCCGUCAGCCUGAUGGAGUUAAGCUGUGGCUUGGACGUCCACCGGCGACCUGAUCCGUGGAUCAGAAAAAAUGCUUUUUGGUUUGUCUGGGUGGCAUUUGUAGUAAGUAUGAGGGGUGGUGGUUGAACUUGACCCAUUGUGCACAUGCAGCAGAUCUAUUUUCUCCCAAAUACCUGCGCCACCGCGACUUGGACCCCCGCCGCCAUGAGAAAGAGCAGAACAAAUCUGAGAGAUGGAGUUCCUGGUGCAGCCAAUAAAAAGUCCGACUUGAGGAAGGUGGCUACCUUGAGACACAGGUGGAGGAACGCAGCGCGCAAGCUCAGAUUUGUGCUGCAUAUGCCGUGGCGGGGGUGCAAAGAGAAGGGUCACCACAGGCAUCAGAGCUCUCUCCGGGAAGAUCAGCUCACAAGCUCCAGGCUGAGCGAAGAGGUGUUCCACGAGCACAGCGCAAUGUUGCCAUUGGAUGUAAUAUUGAAAACCUUUUCACAGCAGUGGCAUUCUCACAGGAGUGGAUCUUGCUGUGCGGAGUAAGGAUAGAUGCUGCUGCUCCUGGGAGGACGCUUUGCCCGAAUUAUGCGUCCGCACUGGAAAAAACAAUUAGGUGCUUCGCUAAAGAUCCUGGUGAGGAUGUGACUGUGCCAACACUGGGAACAAGCUUCGACUCAUUGUGGGAAGCAAAUGAUUUCUAUAAUUUGUACUCAUUGGAGAAUAUGUUCGGUAUCAGGUAUGGCAAGAGCAAGUUAAAUGUCGACAGAACAAAAUGCAUGCAAGAGAUAGUCUGUGGAUGCAUGGGGAAAGCAAUUGUUGAGAACACAAGGUCAUGUAGAUUCUAGUGUCCAGCUCUAGUUAGGCUGAUCCGAUCGAAAGACAAUGGAUGGUACAUAGCGGAGCACCAUGAGGAGCACAACUACUCGGUGACGCCAGAUUUUGGGUAGAGAAUAAACUGGCUGUCACACAAACACAUAGAUGUUUACAGCAGGAUUUAGCAAUGUAAUUAAGGCAAAACAAUGUAAAAUUUUCAAAGGUAUAUAACAUCACAGUUGUAGGUUCUUUGAGUCAAUGGAGAAUGUACCCUUCACAAA
RNA transcript from Hordeum vulgare subsp. vulgare (domesticated barley), 1771 nucleotides. RefSeq lists it as uncharacterized. NCBI's taxonomy places the organism in Eukaryota, Viridiplantae, Streptophyta, Magnoliopsida, Poales, Poaceae. The record is from RefSeq and is a predicted model, not a curated record. The transcript has 4 exons.